This 245-nucleotide ribosomal RNA is filed under the name uncultured bacterium. RNAcentral describes it as "partial 16S ribosomal RNA". It matches the Rfam family "Bacterial small subunit ribosomal RNA", at positions 15 to 263 of the family's 1533-position model. The record is from RNAcentral.
GAUCCUGGCUCAGAUUGAACGCUGGCGGCAUGCCUUACACAUGCAAGUCGAACGGUAACAGGUCUUCGGACGCUGACGAGUGGCGAACGGGUGAGUAAUACAUCGGAACGUGCCCAGUCGUGGGGGAUAACUACUCGAAAGAGUAGCUAAUACCGCAUACGAUCUGAGGAUGAAAGCGGGGGACCUUCGGGCCUCGCGCGAUUGGAGCGGCCGAUGGCAGAUUAGGUAGUUGGUUGGGAUAAAAG